ACAUGCAAGUCGAGCGAACUGAUUAGAAGCUUGCUUCUAUGACGUUAGCGGCCCCACGGGUGAGUAACACGUGGGCAACCUGCCUGUAAGACUGGGAUAACUUCGGGAAACCGAAGCUAAUACCGGAUAGGAUCUUCUCCUUCAUGGGAGAUGAUUGAAAGAUGGUUUCGGCUAUCACUUACAGAUGGGCCCGCGGUGCAUUAGCUAGUUGGUGAGGUAACGGCUCACCAAGGCAACGAUGCAUAGCCGACCUGAGAGGGUGAUCGGCCACACUGGGACUGAGACACGGCCCAGACUCCUACGGGAGGCAGCAGUAGGGAAUCUUCCGCAAUGGACGAAAGUCUGACGGAGCAACGCCGCGUGAGUGAUGAAGGCUUUCGGGUCGUAAAACUCUGUUGUUAGGGAAGAACAAGUACAAGAGUAACUGCUUGUACCUUGACGGUACCUAACCAGAAAGCCACGGCUAACUACGUGCCAGCAGCCGCGGUAAUACGUAGGUGGCAAGCGUUAUCCGGAAUUAUUGGGCGUAAAGCGCGCGCAGGCGGUUUCUUAAGUCUGAUGUGAAAGCCCACGGCUCAACCGUGGAGGGUCAUUGGAAACUGGGGAACUUGAGUGCAGAAGAGAAAAGCGGAAUUCCACGUGUAGCGGUGAAAUGCGUAGAGAUGUGGAGGAACACCAGUGGCGAAGGCGGCUUUUUGGUCUGUAACUGACGCUGAGGC
This 719-nucleotide ribosomal RNA is filed under the name Priestia megaterium. Its description in RNAcentral is "bacterial SSU rRNA". It matches the Rfam family "Bacterial small subunit ribosomal RNA", at positions 53 to 752 of the family's 1533-position model. Lineage: Bacteria; Bacillati; Bacillota; Bacilli; Caryophanales; Bacillaceae. The record is from RNAcentral.